GGUUGAUCCUGCCAGUAGUCAUAUGCUUGUCUCAAAGAUUAAGCCAUGCAUGUCUAAGUAUAAGCAAUCUAUACAGUGAAACUGCGAAUGGCUCAUUAAAUCAGUUAUCGUUUAUUUGAUAAUACUUUACUACUUGGAUAACCGUGGUAAUUCUAGAGCUAAUACAUGCUAAAAAUCCCUACCUCUGGCGGGGAUGUAUUUAUUAGAUAAAAAACCAAUGUCUUCGGACUCUUUGGUGAUUCAUAAUAACUUUUCGAAUCGCAUGGCCUUGCGCUGGCGAUGGUUCAUUCAAA
This 293-nucleotide ribosomal RNA is filed under the name uncultured eukaryote. RNAcentral's name for it is "partial 18S ribosomal RNA". It matches the Rfam family "Eukaryotic small subunit ribosomal RNA", at positions 6 to 303 of the family's 1831-position model. The record is from RNAcentral.